GUAGUUAUAGUUUAAUAAAAACAUUAGAUUGUGAAUCUAACAAUAAAAGAUAAAAUCUUUUUACCUACC
RNAcentral lists this transfer RNA (69 nucleotides) under Spilogale pygmaea. RNAcentral describes it as "tRNA-His". It matches the Rfam family "tRNA". Rfam says of the family: Transfer RNA (tRNA) molecules are approximately 80 nucleotides in length. Their secondary structure includes four short double-helical elements and three loops (D, anti-codon, and T loops). Further hydrogen bonds mediate the characteristic L-shaped molecular structure. tRNAs have two regions of fundamental functional importance: the anti-codon, which is responsible for specific mRNA codon recognition, and the 3' end, to which the tRNAs corresponding amino acid is attached (by aminoacyl-tRNA synthetases). tRNAs cope with the degeneracy of the genetic code in two manners: having more than one tRNA (with a specific anti-codon) for a particular amino acid; and 'wobble' base-pairing, i.e. permitting non-standard base-pairing at the 3rd anti-codon position. Lineage: Eukaryota; Metazoa; Chordata; Mammalia; Carnivora; Mephitidae. The record is from RNAcentral.